RNAcentral lists this ribosomal RNA (219 nucleotides) under Bacillus subtilis. Its description in RNAcentral is "partial 16S ribosomal RNA". It matches the Rfam family "Bacterial small subunit ribosomal RNA", at positions 1 to 215 of the family's 1533-position model. Lineage: Bacteria; Bacillati; Bacillota; Bacilli; Caryophanales; Bacillaceae. The record is from RNAcentral.
UUUAUCGGAGAGUUUGAUCCUGGCUCAGGACGAACGCUGGCGGCGUGCCUAAUACAUGCAAGUCGAGCGGACAGAUGGGAGCUUGCUCCCGAAUGUUAGCGGCGGACGGGUGAGUAACACGUGGGUAACCUGCCUGUAAGACUGGGAUAACUCCGGGAAACCGGGGCUAAUACCGGAUGGUUGUUUGAACCGCAUGGUUCAAACAUAAAAGGUGGCUUC